This 3300-nucleotide long non-coding RNA is filed under the name Mus musculus (house mouse). RNAcentral describes it as "Ftx transcript, Xist regulator, non-protein coding". Lineage: Eukaryota; Metazoa; Chordata; Mammalia; Rodentia; Muridae. The record is from RNAcentral.
CGCUCUGAGGAGAGGGAGGAGCGCGGCGCAUGCGUUGCAGCACAGCGCAGCGCUCCUGGAGAGGCUGUGGGUUCGUGGCAUCCGCGCCGCGGCCGCAAGUAUAGCAGGUUUCGUACCUGGUGUUCAUCGCCGUUAAGUCAUCGCUGCUGCCACCCAGGCACGGCUCUCUAUGCCGCCGCUCCCUCCACCCUCUAGGCACUGCCUGCCGUAAGAAUUUUAACUGCGACACUCGCUUCAGCAGGAGAUUUUAUUGGCUGCAGACACACGCAGCAUCUUCUUGCGCUCCUCCUUGAGGUGGAUGGGCAGCUAGCUGGAGAUGACACAGGAUGAUGCGCAUCUUUCGCACGCUGGCUCCAAGAUCUCCGCUGCCAGAUGCAGCAACAAAGCUUCUUUGUACAGACAGCCCUGGACACACUUCCAGCAGCAAUUCUUCUUGCAGGAACUGGUGCAAGAACAGGAUUUAUUCGUGGCACAGGAGCAGUUGGUGUCCACUGGGAGUGGAGGCAGAAGAGAGACCAGAGCGGGUAUGUUAGGAGAGAAAGCAGUGACUUCAACAGAAGUGGAGUAAAUAAAGAUGAUCACAGAACUUGGAAGCUGACGAAAUUAAUUUUGGAAAAGAGCUGGCUUGGAGCAUGACAGAAGAAUUCGAUGGAAAGAGUGCUGGGAGCCCAACUCAAGACUGAUGUGUGCUUGGCAGGCAGUCUACCCCCGAUCUCAGUCCUCCAGCCUUUCGGCCUUUUUUCCUUUUUGGAGACAGAAUUGCAUCAUAUGGCAUCCUACACAGUCCUGCCUCAGUCUCUGCAGUGCUGGGAUUGUAGGCCUAUGCCACCUAGCCUUUCUACAAUACAAACAAAUAUGAAAAGAAGAGGGACUUCUUUGGAAAGGAGUACAGGGACUAUGGAAGAGAUGAAAAGAUAAUAUUGUCAGAAAUUAUGCCGCUUUUGAAGAGAUAAACUGAACUCUUGAUUCUGUGAGGUUAUUAAAGAAUAUUAAUUUUCAAAUCACGGUAAAAUCUUGAUUCAGCAACACAUGAGGAUAAUCAUUGUGUCCAUGGAAACCUUGGGAAGCAGUUGAAAGCCUGGUCCCUCUUGCCUGGAGCAUUAACACAACGUGGCUGCAAAGUUAGUCCUUUCCCGCUACCAUCUCCUGAAUACUGGGACUAACUACACGUAUGCACGAACCUGCCCAUCUUUGCCUCUGUUAACAGCUGCCACUGUCUCUUCACGACAUGAUGGCUGACCUAGGUUGGAAGGAACAGAGCCAGUUGGCCAUGGACUGAAACUUUUGGAACUGAUUCUGAGGAGUUAAUGUUUCCAUGAAUAUCUCAGAAGGAGAUGUGGACAAACGAACAGUUAUCUCACUCCUGUAGCUAUCUUUCUUAUCCAGCCCAGGCCCUCCCACCGAGAAGUGGCACUAACCACCACAGGUCAAUAUAAUGGAGACAGUUCUUCAAUUGAUGUUCCCCCUUCCCAGGGGUUUCAUUUGCAAAUGCCUGCAGGAUCCAGAUGGGGGACAUGUGUGAGAUGGCUCCUGACAGGGUUUCUCUGUGUCCUGGAACUCACUCCCAAAAAAGGGAAGGAUAGAAGAAAGAUUAUAAAAUGUACAUAUAUUGAUGGAAAUUUUGUCAUAGCUGUGAGAUUCCUUCCAGUGGUCUAGCAAAGUGUGGCUCAAGGUAAGCCCACCUUCCUGAGUGAUUGUCCCUUGGCCAAGCACAUGACUCAGCCCAACUGGAUUAAUUUGUAAGGGAGGAGACAAUGGCAUGCCUGCACCCAGAGGACAACUUGAGCAGAAUCUAAGAGAUUCCUUUAAUUACAAGGUGCAAAUGUCUGCUUGGCAUUAGAUUUGCUGUCUCUUUGGAAGGUGUGCCGCAUCUUUAGAAAAUCUGUAUCCUUUAUGCCUGCUGCUACCCCCAGAAUCUUAAGACAAGGGUUGGACUACAGUGAUCACUGAGUAGGAGCUUCGUCUUUAAAAUCUGGGGUGUGCUGUUAUGCAAUCUUCUUUCCCUGCCCAGUACUGGAUCUGUGAAAAGCUGAAUCAUGAAUCAGUGAGUGUGCGGAUUGGAACCCAAGUUGCUCUCUGGAUAGAACGAAAGGAGUCGUGCCCCAAGAAGAUGGAGAGGGAAGUUAUGAAAUGCUGUGACCAAAUAACAAAUGCUGAUGUUUGGGGAGAUAACUGUUUCCCAUAGGAAAUAGAGUGAAUGCGAUGUCUUUCUUUUGUGAGGGAUUCAUAGACCGCUUCUCAACGCUUGUUACAUGUUACUCCUUUUUUCGAGAUUUUUAUUUACCUAACUGGGAAAGAAACCAGAACAAGGUUUUCAUUGAAUUCUGAUACAGGUAUUUAAAGACUUACGGACAAGAUAUAGAAGAAGAAGUGGUAAUUAACUGAUUAAAGAAGUACAGUUUAUAUCCAGUAGACAGACAGGCUCCAGACAUCCUUAGUGCUGUCUUAGCAUCAAAGGUUAAUCUACCUAAUACUUGUCAUCCUGAAAUGCAUGGUGGAACAUCCAACAGACAAGAGCUACUUCAGGGAAGGACUAUGAUUUUUGUCGUGGAAGACAUUUAACACAGGGCAGCUCCUGUGCACUUACAUGAUAGAUAUUGCUCUUCCGGGGACUCUGAAUGCUCAUCCCACUUUCAGCUCACUAGGCACAUCGAACUAGAAAUUUUAUCAUCUCGUGAAUUAGUCCAAUACCUGAAGGAGCAAGAGAACCAACACCCAGUUGACAAGAAUAUGACCUGUUGAUUGAAGACCAUUAAGAAAGUAACUUGAUUCAGUUGGACUGGACUUUUUUAUUCUAUUGAAAAAGGAAUUUAUUUCCCCUCAGUGAACGUAACAUGAUCAACAUUUUGAAAGUUGUGAACAUGCAUAGUUCUAUAAUUUACAAAAUAAUUAUAAAAAUCUGAGUAUGGAUGCAGCAUAAUUUCAGAACAGAAUAGCCAUCAUACUUUUUAUAUAUCUUAAAUUCGAGUUUUCAAGAGUAUAUUUCUAUGUUAUAUCCUUUGAUUAGUACAAUAUAAAAUCUACAUCUAAUAUGUACUUCAGGUUUUAUUAGAUCAUGCCAUAUUACUGUACAAUUUGGACUUUUCCAUUUUUAUAUAAAAUGUAACAUGCAUUGUACAUUAAUAUUUAUAUAUCUUGUUUAUUUAUAUAUCUUUAGAAUUAAUUUCUGCCAAUUAUUUUCUUUAUUUGAAUACUUGGGGUAUCAUAAAGGUGCUGUUGAGGUAUUCUCAAUAUGCUUGUACAACUUCCUGCCUGUAGUUAAUAAAUGUGGAUAUUUCAUUAAACAAUUGAAAUAUAACA